GGRUYAGUACGUUGGUCUGUGCCUUAGGUACGUACUGGUGUUACUGGAUUCCUACCUUCUGACGAACCAUACAUGUCAUUACAUUUGGUGUGGCGGGGAAUCAGGACUGUUACUUUGAAAAAAUUAGAGUGUUUAAAGCAGGCUCGCGCUUGAAUACAUUAGCAUGGAAUAAUGAAAUAGGACGUUGAUCCUAUUUUGUUGGUUUCUAGGAUUGACGUA
RNAcentral lists this ribosomal RNA (219 nucleotides) under uncultured Glomus. Its description in RNAcentral is "partial 18S rRNA". The stretch from base 96 to 219 matches the Rfam family "Eukaryotic small subunit ribosomal RNA", at positions 749 to 875 of the family's 1831-position model. Lineage: Eukaryota; Fungi; Glomeromycota; Glomeromycetes; Glomerales; Glomeraceae. The record is from RNAcentral.